Molecule: transfer RNA, 75 nt
Filed under: Nanobdellota archaeon
Lineage: Archaea; Nanobdellati; Nanobdellota
Description: tRNA-Arg
Rfam family: tRNA
About the family: Transfer RNA (tRNA) molecules are approximately 80 nucleotides in length. Their secondary structure includes four short double-helical elements and three loops (D, anti-codon, and T loops).
Source: RNAcentral
GCCCGGGUAGUUCAAUCUGGAUAGAACGCGUCCCUCCUAAGGACGAGGUUGAGGGUUCGAAUCCCUCCUUGGGCG